GGGGAAUAUUGCGCAAUGGGGGGAACCCUGACGCAGCAACGCCGCGUGAGUGAAGAAGGCCUUCGGGUCGUAAAACUCUGUCAUUGGGGAAGAAGGACGUGACGGUACCCGAUGAGGAAGCCCCGGCUAACUACGUGCCAGCAGCCGCGGUAAUACGUAGGGGGCGAGCGUUGUCCGGAAUUACUGGGCGUAAAGGGUGCGUAGGCGGCCGAUUAAGUCAGAUGUGAAAUACCACGGCUCAACUGUGGGGGUGCAUAUGAAACUGGUUGGCUUGAGUGCAGGAGAGGAAAGUGGAAUUCCUAGUGUAGCGGUGAAAUGCGUAGAGAUUAGGAGGAACACCAGUGGCGAAGGCGACUUUCUGGACUGUAACUGACGCUGAGGCACGAAAGCGUGGGGAGCAAAC
Molecule: ribosomal RNA, 403 nt
Filed under: uncultured bacterium
Lineage: Bacteria
Description: bacterial SSU rRNA
Rfam family: Bacterial small subunit ribosomal RNA
Source: RNAcentral